CCUUCUUCCUUCCCCUGCGGCCGACGGCCGGGAGACUGGGCGGGCGCCCUGCGACCCGGAAGUAGUUCUGGAGGAGGUGGGCCUGAGGGGUUGGAGCUGGUGACGUUGCCGCCCGGGGCUCCGGCGCUUGUUACCGCCUGUUUGCGGCUCCUGCGAGAAAACUGUGGCCAGGUCUGCGGGAACCGCACCUAUGGCUUCCGUGCUGUCCUACGAAAGCCUGGUCCACGCCGUGGCGGGAGCCGUGGGAAGCAUGACAGCAAUGACAGUAUUUUUUCCCUUGGAUACAGCUCGACUUCGACUUCAAGUUGAUGAGAAAAGAAAGUCCAAAACGACACACAUGGUGCUCCUGGAGAUCAUUAAAGAAGAAGGCCUCCUGGCACCAUAUCGAGGGUGGUUUCCAGUUAUCUCCAGUCUCUGCUGCUCCAAUUUUGUCUAUUUCUACACUUUUAAUAGCCUCAAAGCAGUCUGGGUCAAAGGUCAACAUUCUACUACUGCAAAAGAUCUGGUAGUUGGAUUUGUUGCAGGAGUGGUGAAUGUGCUGCUAACAACUCCACUCUGGGUAGUAAACACCAGACUGAAGCUGCAAGGGGCGAAAUUUAGGAAUGAAGACAUUGUACCAACCAACUACAGUGGUAUUAUUGAUGCUUUUCACCAGAUCAUUCGCGAUGAAGGAAUCCUGGCUUUAUGGAAUGGCACAUUUCCCUCCUUGCUGUUGGUCUUCAAUCCUGCCAUCCAAUUCAUGUUCUAUGAAGGUUUAAAACGGCAGCUUUUAAAGAAACGAAUGAAGCUUUCUUCUGUGGACGUGUUCAUCAUUGGUGCAAUAGCCAAAGCCAUUGCCACCACGGUCACCUAUCCUCUGCAGACAGUACAGUCAAUUCUGAGGUUCGGACAUCACAGACUGAACCCAGAAAACAGAACACUGGGGAGUCUUCGGAACAUUCUCUAUCUUCUUCACCAACGAGUAAGCUGCAGAUAUGGAGAAACCUUUAGGCCACCAGAGGGCAUUGCAGUCAGCCUCCUUUAUCAUCACUAUAAAUCACUGCUGUCAGAGAUGCCUAGUGAAAAUUGUUCCCAGUUUAACCAAAAAGAGAAGCAUUCUUAGACCCGAUGAGCAAUCUGCAUAGGACCUGUGGCUUGAACUUGGUGGAGCACUACCUUGAAGCACCCUUUUUAUCUAUAAAAGCGAAGAAUGGAGUAUGAUUUAUGCAGUAAUGCCCAUGUUAAAAAGAACAGGACCAUCAUUUGUGUGUCAAGCUUAGGUAAGAAUGUCUCUAACACAAAGUUCACUGUGUGCUUUUUAUGUCUUUGGUAGUUUUGGAACAUAAUACACUGGCUAGAGCGCUUAUCAAGUAACCUCUGCAUUAAGUUGUAUUUCUCUGUUUACUUCCCUACCUCCCUGGAUAGAUUAAGGGCCCAUACUUCUCAUCACCAUUACUGUGUCCCAGGCAUUAUUAUGAGUACUCUAUAAAUAUUUGUCCAAUGAGUAUAUAUAUUGAGGGAGGUGGGGUAUAGUGUUGAAUUUAGGUUUGUCUAAGCCAGAGUACCUAGAGUUGCAAUCCCCGGGAUAGUAUGUAUUUUGACAGAAAGUAAGACGUGGCUUCCCCAAGAUUUAGCAUCUUGGCAAUUUCCCCACAUUAAAUACAACAUGAUACCUGUAUUCCUUAGUCUGAAGUGAAUAAAGUGUGUGAUGUGUCCAGGCAGAAGGGAGCUGAGAAGCAGAUGCACAAGCUUAGCACUAUGUAAGCAGAAAGAAUACUAUGUAAUUAAAACGAGAAUGCUGGCAUCAUCCUUCUCACAUGUUUUUCAUCUGUGCUCCUGGUCCUAGAGUGCAGUUUUCAUUUUUGUGUCUCUGGUACCUAACAGGAGACUUAAUAAUGGUGCUUAAUAAGUAUUGUUGCCUUGUACCAAAGGUACUCUGCUAAUCAAGAAGUCAACAAAGAAUUUUUGAGCAUAUACCACGUGCCAGCCACUUUGCUAAAGAAUAGGGAUACAGUGUGAGCAGAAUAGAUGAGGUCCCUGCUCUUGUGGGACUUGGGUUGGGAUGGAAGGAGAUAGCAAGGAGCAUACAAACCAGUAAGGGGAUUUUAGGUACAGAUAAGUGCUGUAAACAGUAUAACAUAGGGAGCAGGUAGAGUAGGUAGAGCUAACAUACUCUAAAGAUAUUUUAGUUACCAGCCUCCGUGUGAGAGAGAGUAUUCAAGCAAUGUGUGCAAGCGCUGAUAUGAGGAAGGCGGUAGAAUACCAGAGCAGGAGAACACCAAGCCAUGCAGAGAUAGAAAAGGGCUCGAAUGCAGUAUAAAGUCGCCAACUAAGGGAAUUUAUAUUAAAUGUAUAUGUAUAUAUUAUUAUGAUGAUUGAGACUUUUCCCUCAGCUUUGGGUCUUUGUAUUAGACUAUGUGGCAGGUGAUAUGAGACCAGCCUUUCUUCCGCCCAAACUUCAUAAAUUCGAUUUCUAAACUUGAUUCACUAUCCUCAUAAACAGUAUCUUCUUUAUCUGAGGUGCCGAUUGGGCUUUACGUGUGCUAUACUAAGUUCCAAAAUACUGUUUCCACGCAGAAUGGCCUCCCUGAGCAUUCUAGGUCCAGCAGGUAGUGGCUGCAGAUUGCCAUGAUUCUACUUCCACUCAUGAACUUGGUGCUCUUUCCCCCACCUACCAAAUUCCACCACCAAAUUCCCCCAAAUCAGAACUUGGUUCAGAACUGAAUUUAGGCAUGACCAACUAAAAUCUGGAGUAAGUUAAGCAGUCACUUUUCUAUUAUCUUUUUUCUUCUUCUUUUUUUGGCCACACCAUGCAGCAUGUGGGAUCUUAGUUCCCCGACCAGCAAUCGAACCUGUG
RNA transcript from Aethalodelphis obliquidens (Pacific white-sided dolphin), 2836 nucleotides. It is a transcript of the gene named solute carrier family 25 member 17, with no coding region annotated. The transcript is spliced from 10 exons. The record is from RefSeq and is a predicted model, not a curated record. Lineage: Eukaryota; Metazoa; Chordata; Mammalia; Artiodactyla; Delphinidae.